AGCGAACGCUGGCGGCAGGCCUAACACAUGCAAGUCGAACGAACCUUUCGGGGUUAGUGGCGGACGGGUUAGUAACACGUGGGAACGUGCCUUUAGGUUCGGAAUAACUCAGGGAAACUUGUGCUAAUACCGAAUGUGCCCUUCGGGGGAAAGAUUUAUCGCCUUUAGAGCGGCCCGCGUCUGAUUAGCUAGUUGGUUGAGGUAAUGGCUCACCAAGGCGACGAUCAGUAGCUGGUCUGAGAGGAGGAUCAGCCACAUUGGGACUGAGACACGGCCCAAACUCCUACGGGAGGCAGCAGUGGGGAAUCUUGCGCAAUGGGCGAAAGCCUGACGCAGCCAUGCCGCGUGAAUGAUGAAGGUCUUAGGAUUGUAAAAUUCUUUCAACGGGGACGAUAAUGACGGUACCCGGAGAAGAAGCCCCGGCUAACUUCGUG
This 434-nucleotide ribosomal RNA is filed under the name uncultured bacterium. RNAcentral describes it as "partial 16S ribosomal RNA". It matches the Rfam family "Bacterial small subunit ribosomal RNA", at positions 29 to 507 of the family's 1533-position model. The record is from RNAcentral.